This 433-nucleotide ribosomal RNA is filed under the name uncultured bacterium. RNAcentral describes it as "partial 16S ribosomal RNA". It matches the Rfam family "Bacterial small subunit ribosomal RNA", at positions 29 to 507 of the family's 1533-position model. The record is from RNAcentral.
AACGAACGCUGGCGGCAGGCCUAACACAUGCAAGUCGAGCGGACCUUUCGGGGUCAGCGGCGGACGGGUGAGUAACGCGUGGGAAUAUGCCCUUCUCUACGGAAUAGUCCUGGGAAACUGGGGGUAAUACCGUAUACGCCCUUUGGGGGAAAGAUUUAUCGGGGAAGGAUUAGCCCGCGUUGGAUUAGGUAGUUGGUGGGGUAAUGGCCUACCAAGCCGACGAUCCAUAGUUGGUUUGAGAGGAUGAUCAGCCACACUGGGACUGAGACACGGCCCAGACUCCUACGGGAGGCAGCAGUGGGGAAUCUUAGACAAUGGGGGCAACCCUGAUCUAGCCAUGCCGCGUGAGUGAUGAAGGCCUUAGGGUUGUAAAGCUCUUUCAGCUGGGAAGAUAAUGACGGUACCAGCAGAAGAAGCCCCGGCUAACUCCGUG